AUGGCGGCAGAUACAGGCGAUGGUGGUUCGAGGGGAGGCGGGCGAGCGGGAGGCUCGCAGGGCCUUGGGUGCUCGAGGAGAGGCCGAGGGCGGCUGGAACCGACUAGAGGCGACGCCCUACGGCGCGGGGACGAGGUGGCGUUGGGGGCGCUGCUGCAGACAUGGAUGGAUAGGAGAUGGGAAGAUCUGGCCGGCUGGCGCUCCAGCGGGCGAGGCGGCGGCACAAGGCAGGAGGCGGCUCGGUCUACGGCUACUCGGAUGCUCGGCGUGGGCGGAGCCGGCUCGAGGAAGAGGAGCCUGGCAUGGCUCCCGCUUGAGGUGGCAUUCCUAGAGGAGCUCGGCGGCGGCUCCAAAGGAAGAAAAGAAGUGGAGUUGGAUAAAAAGGAAAUUGAAGAACGGUGCAAAUGUGUUAUGGGUGAAUCCAAGCCAAUGGAAUGGUUUAAUAUAGCUCCCUAA
RNAcentral lists this ribosomal RNA (456 nucleotides) under Triticum aestivum (bread wheat). RNAcentral describes it as "partial small subunit ribosomal RNA". The record is from RNAcentral. Lineage: Eukaryota; Viridiplantae; Streptophyta; Magnoliopsida; Poales; Poaceae.